CUUCAUGAAAAGCGCUGCUGUAUACACUGAAAAAACAAUCCCCAGCAUUGCGAUUUUCCUAAGGCUGCUGAGAGAUCGUGCACCAUCUUGAGAUUCCACAACCGUUUCUAUGAGCGUUGGGGAGACGGCGCCAUCUUGGCUUGCUCUUGUUACUGUCUUCUUGGGAGAUGAGGCACGCGGCUUGAGCUUUUCGUGCCUUGGACUUCUUCUUGGGUCCACAUGGAAAUGACAGGACCUACAUCUUAGUGUGUUUGAAGCUUAUAGUUGACUAAGCCUCCGAAUUCUCAGGGGAAGGAGCUUUUAAUGCAGCAGGUGUAUGACAAGCCCAAGCCAUUGCUAGGGAGUUAUAUAUAAAACGACAGCUUCAGUUUCACAUGGUGAGACUUGGCCAGCCCGGAGUGGACAAAGCAUUAGACGCCCUGGAAUGCCACACUGGGAAGAUUGAGAAAUAGCUGAGUGAACUCAGAAUUCACCAACCUGCUGGCCAUUCAUGUACUGUCUGUGUUCAUGCUUGGAAUUGAUUUCCAGUAAAGAAGCUCAUGUUGGUCUUCUGAGUUUGGGGGACAAAGGACAGUCUCUCUUUCCAGUCCUCUUGGGACCCUAGAAAUGCCUUUCUCCGAGCUGCGGAGACUACAUUUGCCACAAUGGAUUCCUGGAUGCUCCUGGG
Molecule: non-coding RNA, 667 nt
Organism: Peromyscus maniculatus bairdii (prairie deer mouse)
Lineage: Eukaryota; Metazoa; Chordata; Mammalia; Rodentia; Cricetidae
Source: RefSeq, a predicted model, not a curated record